RNAcentral lists this ribosomal RNA (442 nucleotides) under uncultured bacterium. RNAcentral describes it as "bacterial SSU rRNA". It matches the Rfam family "Bacterial small subunit ribosomal RNA", at positions 338 to 795 of the family's 1533-position model. The record is from RNAcentral.
CCUACGGGAGGCAGCAGUGGGGAAUAUUGCACAAUGGGGAAACCCUGAUGCAGCCACCCCCCGGGAAAGGAAAAGGGUUUCGGGUUGGAAACCUCUAACAGCCGGGGAGGAGAAAGGUACCGUACCUGACUAAGAAGCCCCCGCUAACUACGUGCCAGCCGCCGCGGUAAUACGUAGGGGGCAAGCGUUAUCCGGAAUCACUGGGUGUAAAGGGUGCGUAGGCGGUAGGGCAAGUCAGAUGUGAAAGCCCGGGGCUCAACCUCGGGAUUGCAUUUGAAACUGUCUUACUAGAGUGCAGGAGAGGAAAGCGGAAUUCCUAGUGUAGCGGUGAAAUGCGUAGAUAUUAGGAAGAACACCAGUGGCGAAGGCGGCUUUCUGGACUGUAACUGACGCUGAGGCACGAAAGCGUGGGGAGCGAACAGGAUUAGAUACCCGUGUAGUC